AAGUCGUAACAAGGUUUCCGUAGGUGAACCUGCGGAAGGAUCAUUUGCGUUGCUGUGGUGUGCGCUGCGCUCUCUGUGCACGUGCUCCUCAACACGAUUCAUUCGCUCACUGUGUGGAAGCGUCCCUCCCCAGCGUGUGUGUGGGGGAUGUGUGUGUGUGCUUUGUUUGCCUUGCCUUGCUUUGCUGCGAUGCCCCUCGUGUGGGAGGCAGCAGCAGCAGCAGCAGCAGGCACAGAGCCGCACACACGCCCCCGCCCGCGCUGCUUUGUACUUUCAACAACAACAACAACCCUCGAUAACACACCCUGUGUGUGUGACACACCAUGUCCAAAGGCGCGUGUGAGCACCGCUCGCACCCAACAAACCAAUGAAAACAUCAUGUACAGUUUUAACGGUGGAUCUCUUGGCUCGU
RNAcentral lists this unclassified non-coding RNA (412 nucleotides) under fungal sp. Its description in RNAcentral is "partial internal transcribed spacer region". The stretch from base 1 to 46 matches the Rfam family "Eukaryotic small subunit ribosomal RNA", at positions 1786 to 1831 of the family's 1831-position model. The record is from RNAcentral. Lineage: Eukaryota; Fungi.